Molecule: ribosomal RNA, 1225 nt
Filed under: metagenome
Description: bacterial LSU rRNA
Rfam family: Bacterial large subunit ribosomal RNA
Source: RNAcentral
AAACUCGGCAAAUUGACACCGUAACUUCGGAAGAAGGUGUGCCUUUAGUAGGUGAUCCAUUUACUUGGUGAGCCCAAUGAGGCCGCAGAGAAUCGGUGGCUGCAACUGUUUAUUAAAAACACAGCACUCUGCAAAGACGAAAGUCGACGUAUAGGGUGUGACGCCUGCCCGGUGCUGGAAGAUUAAAUGAUGGGGUGCAAGCUCUUGACUGAAGUCCCAGUAAUCGGCGGCCGUAACAAUAACGGUCCUAAGGUAGCGAAAUUCCUUGUCGGGUAAGUUCCGACCUGCACGAAUGGCGUAAUGAUGGCCACACUGUCUCCUCCAGAGACUCAGCGAAGUUGAAAUGUUUGUGAUGAUGCAAUCUCCCCGCGGAAAGACGGAAAGACCCCAUGAACCUUUACUGUAGCUUUACAUUGGACUUUGAACAGAUCUGUGUAGGAUAGGUGGGAGGCUUUGAAGCGGCGCCGCUAUGUGUCGUGGAGCCAACGUUGAAAUACCACCCUGGUGUGUUUGAGGUUCUAACCUUGGCCCGUUAUCCGGGUUGGGGACAGUGUAUGGUGGGCAGUUUGACUGGGGCGGUCUCCUCCCAAAGCGUAACGGAGGAGUUCGAAGGUACGCUAGGCACGGUCGGAAAUCGUGCUGAUAGUGCAUUGGCAUAAGCGUGCUUGACUGCGAGACUGACAAGUCGAGCAGGUACGAAAGUAGGACAAAGUGAUCCGGUGGUUCUGUAUGGAAGGGCCAUCGCUCAACGGAUAAAAGGUACUCUGGGGAUAACAGGCUGAUACCGCCCAAGAGUUCAUAUCGACGGCGGUGUUUGGCACCUCGAUGUCGGCUCAUCUCAUCCUGGGGCUGUAGCCGGUCCCAAGGGUAUGGCUGUUCGCCAUUUAAAGGGGUACGUGAGCUGGGUUUAAAACGUCGUGAGACAGUUUGGUCCCUAUCUUCCGUGGGCGCUGCAAGAUUGAAAGAGCCUGCUCCUAGUACGAGAGGACCGGAGUGGACGCACCUCUGGUGUAUCGGUUGUCACGCCAGUGGCAUUGCCGAGUAGCUAUGUGCGGAAGAGAUAACCGCUGAAAGCAUCUAAGCGGGAAACUCGUCUUAAGAUUAGUCUUGCCGGGGCCUUGAGCCCCCUGAAGAGUCGUUCGAGACCAGGACGUUGAUAGGCUGGGUGUGGAAGCGUAGUAAUACGUUAAGCUAACCAGUACUAAUUGCUCGUGAGGCUUGACCC